AUUGAACGCUGGCGGCAUGCCUUACACAUGCAAGUCGAACGGCAGCACGGGAGCAAUCCUGGUGGCGAGUGGCGAACGGGUGAGAAAAGUAUCGGAACGUGCCCAGUCGUGGGGGAUAACGUAGCGAAAGUUACGCUAAUACCGCAUACGAUCUAUGGGUGAAAGCGGGGGAUCGCAAGACCUCGCGCGAUUGGAGCGGCCGAUAUCAGAUUAGGUAGUUGGUGGGGUAAAGGCUCACCAACCGACGAUCUGUAGCUGGUCUGAGAGGACGACCAGCCACACUGGGACUGAGACACGGCCCAGACUCCUACGGGAGGCAGCAGUGGGGAAUUUUGGACAAUGGGCGAAAGCCUGAUCCAGCCAUGCCGCGUGCAGGAUGAAGGCCUUCGGGUUGUAAACUGCUUUUGUACGGAACGAAAAGGUUUGGCCUAAUAAGCUGAGCUCAUGACGGUACCGUAAGAAUAAGCACCGGCUAACUACGUGCCAGCCGCCGCCGUAA
Molecule: ribosomal RNA, 499 nt
Filed under: uncultured bacterium
Lineage: Bacteria
Description: partial 16S ribosomal RNA
Rfam family: Bacterial small subunit ribosomal RNA
Source: RNAcentral